UACAGAGGAUGCAAGCGUUAUCCGGAAUGAUUGGGCGUAAAGCGUCUGUAGGUGGCUUUUUAAGUCCGCCGUCAAAUCCCAGGGCUCAACUCUGGACAGGCGGUGGAAACUACCAAGCUGGAGUACGGUAGGGGCAGAGGGAAUUUCCGGUGGAGCGGUGAAAUGCGUAGAGAUGCGGAGGAACACCGAUGGCGAAGGCAGCCCCCUGGGCUAGCACUGACGCUCAGGCACGAAAGCGUGGGGAGCAAACAGG
RNAcentral lists this ribosomal RNA (253 nucleotides) under uncultured bacterium. Its description in RNAcentral is "partial 16S ribosomal RNA". It matches the Rfam family "Bacterial small subunit ribosomal RNA", at positions 524 to 776 of the family's 1533-position model. The record is from RNAcentral.